GCCCCCGUAGCUCAGCGGAUAGAGCGCUAGCCUCCGGAGCUAGAAGCGUGGGUUCNAUUCCCACCGGGGGUACCA
RNAcentral lists this transfer RNA (75 nucleotides) under Chloroflexota bacterium. RNAcentral describes it as "tRNA-Arg". It matches the Rfam family "tRNA". Rfam says of the family: Transfer RNA (tRNA) molecules are approximately 80 nucleotides in length. The record is from RNAcentral. Lineage: Bacteria; Bacillati; Chloroflexota.